GCGCGCACGCGGGCUCCAUCCGCGCCGUCGUCGGCAACGCCUCCUACGGCGCCGACGCCGCGCUCAUCGACGCGCUCCCGGCGCUCGAGAUCGUCGCCUCCUUCUCCGUCGGCAUCGACCGCGUCGACCUCGCCAAGUGCCGCGAGCGCGGGAUCCGGGUCACCAACACCCCCGACGUCCUCACCGACGACGUCGCCGACCUCGCCGUCGGGCUCGCCAUCGCCGUGCUACGCAGGAUCCCGCAGGCCGACCGAUUCGUCCGCGCCGGCCUGUGGAAGGCCAAGGGCGACUACGCACUCACCACGCGG
This 308-nucleotide long non-coding RNA is filed under the name Setaria italica (foxtail millet). RNAcentral describes it as "long non-coding RNA (SITA_LNC003360)". Lineage: Eukaryota; Viridiplantae; Streptophyta; Magnoliopsida; Poales; Poaceae. The record is from RNAcentral.